GAAUACACAGUGGGAAGUAAUGGAAUUUGUAUUAGUUAAUCAAACAUAUGUUGUUAUUUUCUUUCUUUUUUUAACUCUCACUUUUGCAUCUUUAAAUAGCACACUUUUUUAAUUUAUGGAAGACUUGUAUUCUUAGAAUCUUGUUUCAAAACAGUUCAUGCUAAAUCCAGCUAUGCCAUUCUUUGUAUUAUUUCUUGCCCCAAAAAGUAAAAAACUGCUUAGCAAUUAAGGCCUUCAUUUGUUACUUGACAGUUAAGUUUUCUGGUAUUUUACUCUAUAG
Molecule: long non-coding RNA, 280 nt
Filed under: Homo sapiens (human)
Lineage: Eukaryota; Metazoa; Chordata; Mammalia; Primates; Hominidae
Description: HSALNT0076093
Source: RNAcentral